This 796-nucleotide ribosomal RNA is filed under the name uncultured methanogenic archaeon. RNAcentral's name for it is "bacterial SSU rRNA". It matches the Rfam family "Archaeal small subunit ribosomal RNA", at positions 136 to 924 of the family's 1478-position model. The record is from RNAcentral. Lineage: Archaea; Methanobacteriati; Methanobacteriota.
GAAACUGGGGACAAUUGCGGAUAAAGGCAUAUUUGCUGGUAUGCUUUAUUGUGUUAAAAGGAUUCGUAUGCCCCAAGGAUGGGUGUGUGGCCUAUUCAGGUACUAGUGGGGUGUAAUGUACCUACUAGCCAGCGACGGGUACGGGUUGUGAGAGCAAGAGCCCGAAGAUGGAUUCUGAGACAUGAAUCCAGGCCCUACGGGGUGCAGCAGGUGCGAAAACUUUACAAUGCGGGAAACCGUGAUAAGGGGACACCGAGCGCCAGCAUCAUUUGCUGGCUGUCCCGGAUGUGUAAAAUACAUCCGUUACCAAGGGCCGGGCAAGACCGGUGCCCGCCGCCGCGGUAACACCGGCGGCCCGAGUGGUGAUCGUGAUUAUUGGGUCUAAAGGGUCCGUAGCCGGUUUGGUCAGUCCUCCGGGAAAUGUGAUAGCUCAAUUAUUAGGCUUUCGGGGGAUACUGCCAGACUUGGAACCGGGAGAGGUAAGAGGUACUACAGGGGUAGGAGUGAAAUCUUGUAAUCCCUGUGGGACCACCUGUGGCGAAGGUGUCUUACCAGAACGGGUUCGACGGUGAGGGACGAAAGCUGGGGGCACGAACCGGAUUAGAUACCCGGGUAGUCCCAGCCGUAAACGAUGCUCGCUAGGUGUCAGGCAUGGCGCGACCGUGUCUGGUGCCGCAGGGAAGCCGUGAAGCGAGCCACCUGGGAAGUACGGCCGCAAGGCUGAAACUUAAAGGAAUUGGCGGGGGAGCACAACAACGGGUGGAGCCUGCGGUUUAAUUGGACUCAACGCCGGGAA